Molecule: non-coding RNA, 41 nt
Filed under: Schistosoma curassoni
Lineage: Eukaryota; Metazoa; Platyhelminthes; Trematoda; Strigeidida; Schistosomatidae
Source: RNAcentral
CUAGCUGACGAGUCCCAUAUAGGACGAAACGCGCGUCCUAG